GUUUUAUUAGUGUAAGCUUUACGUAACAAUUCAUUCAUAAACAGAUCUAAACAUAACAAAAGAGUAGUGACAUUACAUUUUUUUACCAUAUUGUAACAGCAUAUUAUCAGAAAAGGCUCAUUUUAUGUAGGGUGACAAAACUGAACACGAAAGAGUAAUAGAUCAUAGAAAUUAUAUAAAUCUUAAAAUCAAUUGAAAAUCAAAAUUCUAGUGUGUCCUCAAAGUAUGACAAACAAUUUUAUUAAAACACAAACACGUGAUUACUGUAUGGAAUAAUAUAUUGCUUGAAAUCACAAAGAGAAAUCUGACUGCCAUUCUGGGGUCAAGAAAGCUUAUUUUUACAAUUUUGUUGCAAAAUGUAUGAAAAGGCCGAACUAAAUGGACGGAGUUCUUUUCUCAGCCUAUGUAACUGUGUAAGUAUUUAAUAAAAGACGGUGCAUUCCUUAACAGGAUUUGUGGUCAGCAAGUAAAACAGAGGUAAUUUUCACAAGGCAUAUGGACAUUAGCCUAUUUGAAGGAACAUUCUAAGCACCAUAGCCACUACAGCUAAUUGUCUGAGCCAAGCCCGGCAGUGCAGAGCUUAGCUUAUUGGCUGAGGUCUAUCAACCGGCAAUCAACCGACACCAAUGAACAAGCCCUGGACUGCAGGGUUUAGCUCAUGUUAGCUAACUAAAGCUCCAAAGAGGCACCCUAAGUAGGAAGUCACACCAUUCUAAAAUGGUUUGACUGCUUACAGUGCAACCAGUUAAUUCCUGGCACCAUAACAACUACAGGGUGUGUGCUGUAUUGCUUUUGGCACUUGGAGAGUUCCCUUAAAAUGAACACUCUUAUUCUCACCUAUGUUUUGUCUCAGGCCUGUCAAAGCUCCAAUUACCCAACUGUAUAAACUUGUGGCAUAAGCUUCCCAUAAUGCCUAGUCUAAAGACAAGUACAGCAUCAUGGGAAAUGUAGUUAUUACAUUGCUGCACUCAGGGAAUCCCCAAUCAUGGGAAUAUGACAUGAAUUUAACUUUUUCAAAGAUAAACUAAGCCACGUAGGAGAGCCUGUCUAUUAGUCCUCAGUGUCUGAAAAAUUCAUUGUUUUCAAAACGGUCAUUUUCUUGUACAUCGCAUCAUAUUAAAAACUAUUUUUGUUUCAUCAUAAUUAUAUUAAUGAUUUUAAAUUUAAU
This is a non-coding RNA of Pelobates cultripes (western spadefoot toad), 1168 nucleotides long. Lineage: Eukaryota; Metazoa; Chordata; Amphibia; Anura; Pelobatidae. The record is from the annotation of a GenBank genome assembly.